CGCUAUCUACAGGCUUAACACAUGCAAGUCGAGGGGCAUCAGGAAGAAAGCUUGCUUUCUUUGCUGGCGACCGGCGCACGGGUGAGUAACACGUAUCCAACCUGCCCUUUACUCGGGGAUAGCCUUUCGAAAGAAAGAUUAAUACCCGAUGGCAUAAUGAUUCCGCAUGGUUUCAUUAUUAAAGGAUUCCGGUAAAGGAUGGGGAUGCGUUCCAUUAGGUUGUUGGUGAGGUAACGGCUCACCAAGCCUUCGAUGGAUAGGGGUUCUGAGAGGAAGGUCCCCCACAUUGGAACUGAGACACGGUCCAAACUCCUACGGGAGGCAGCAGUGAGGAAUAUUGGUCAAUGGGCGCUAGCCUGAACCAGCCAAGUAGCGUGAAGGAUGAAGGCUCUAUGGGUCGUAAACUUCUUUUAUAUAAGAAUAAAGUGCAGUAUGUAUACUGUUUUGUAUGUAUUAUAUGAAUAAGGAUCGGCUAACUCCGUGCCAGCAGCCGCGGUAAUACGGAGGAUCCGAGCGUUAUCCGGAUUUAUUGGGUUUAAAGGGAGCGUAGGUGGACUGGUAAGUCAGUUGUGAAAGUUUGCGGCUCAACCGUAAAAUUGCAGUUGAUACUGUCAGUCUUGAGUACAGUAGAGGUGGGCGGAAUUCGUGGUGUAGCGGUGAAAUGCUUAGAUAUCACGAAGAACUCCGAUUGCGAAGGCAGCUCACUGGACUGCAACUGACACUGAUGCUCGAAAGUGUGGGUAUCAAACAGGAUUAGAUACCCUGGUAGUCCACACAGUAAACGAUGAAUACUCGCUGUUUGCGAUAUACAGUAAGCGGCCAAGCGAAAGCAUUAAGUAUUCCACCUGGGGAGUACGCCGGCAACGGUGAAACUCAAAGGAAUUGACGGGGGCCCGCACAAGCGGAGGAACAUGUGGUUUAAUUCGAUGAUACGCGAGGAACCUUACCCGGGCUUAAAUUGCAGUGGAAUGAUGUGGAAACAUGUCAGUGAGCAAUCACCGCUGUGAAGGUGCUGCAUGGUUGUCGUCAGCUCGUGCCGUGAGGUGUCGGCUUAAGUGCCAUAACGAGCGCAACCCUUAUCUUUAGUUACUAACAGGUUAUGCUGAGGACUCUAGAGAGACUGCCGUCGUAAGAUGUGAGGAAGGUGGGGAUGACGUCAAAUCAGCACGGCCCUUACGUCCGGGGCUACACACGUGUUACAAUGGGGGGUACAGAAGGCAGCUAGCGGGUGACCGUAUGCUAAUCCCAAAAGCCUCUCUCAGUUCGGAUCGAAGUCUGCAACCCGACUUCGUGAAGCUGGAUUCGCUAGUAAUCGCGCAUCAGCCACGGCGCGGUGAAUACGUUCCCGGGCCUUGUACACACCGCCCGUCAAGCCAUGGGAGCCGGGGGUACCUGAAGUACGUAACCGCAAGGAUCGCCCUAGGGUAAAACUGGUGACUGGGGC
Molecule: ribosomal RNA, 1444 nt
Filed under: uncultured organism
Description: SSU rRNA
Rfam family: Bacterial small subunit ribosomal RNA
Source: RNAcentral